RNAcentral lists this long non-coding RNA (619 nucleotides) under Chinchilla lanigera (long-tailed chinchilla). Its description in RNAcentral is "lncRNA (ENSCLAG00000025067.1)". The record is from RNAcentral. Lineage: Eukaryota; Metazoa; Chordata; Mammalia; Rodentia; Chinchillidae.
GAGGAAAGGAAGGAAGGAAGGGAGGAAGGGAGGAAGAAAGAAGGGAUUUCACUCACAUGUGCCAUGCUGGUGUUCUGUCCAAGGGAAAUGUGGCCAUGCCUCCAAAUAUAGGAACGGCCUGGAGAAAACAUCCCAUCCCACCCCAGGGGGGCGCCACUGAGCAGAAUCUUCUCAGCAUGUGGGAUCAGAAAACACCGAUCAUGUGCAAGUCUCUGUGAUGGGUCUACGCACUCCCGUGGAAACCCAGCCUGUCCAGCUUGGCAGUGAAUUCUCAUGUACUGAAAUUGGAGCUGGCAGCCUGCUCAUCCAGACCUCUGCUCGCCCAGACGGAUGUGUCCACUGUGAUGCUGUCUUCGUGUCCACGAAUGAAGUAUCUCAGCAUCUCAGCCACACGACAGCUGCGGAGCAGCGAGGCGAGGCUGCAGUCAUUCUCGCACUGCCAGCAGAGAGGGGUGGUCAUGAGCCAGCAGACAGCACAUGGCCUGCAGAGGUCUGGGUCUGGGGUCACCAGAGGCCUUCAGCUGCCCUCCAGACCUGUUUGGAUUGGCCCGCAGCAUUGGACCGUUUCUUGAAUCAUGUGCCAACAUUUAAACAUUGGGAAACAGCAGUAAAAAUAUGA